Molecule: transfer RNA, 75 nt
Filed under: Caudoviricetes sp.
Lineage: Duplodnaviria; Heunggongvirae; Uroviricota; Caudoviricetes
Description: tRNA-Gln
Rfam family: tRNA
About the family: Transfer RNA (tRNA) molecules are approximately 80 nucleotides in length.
Source: RNAcentral
UGGGCUGUGGCGAAAUUGGUUAGACGCACUGCGUUUUGACCGCAGGUUUUGUGGGUUCAAGUCCCACCAGCCUAG